Ricinus communis (castor bean) is the source of this 106-nucleotide non-coding RNA. Lineage: Eukaryota; Viridiplantae; Streptophyta; Magnoliopsida; Malpighiales; Euphorbiaceae. The record is from Rfam.
AAACCAUGGUGUGGACAGUUCCUUAGUAAAUCCUUGAAUGUUCCCAAUAAUCGUAUAAAGUCUCAUUCUUUAGCUAAAGAAACCCUGCUAUUUCAUUCCUCAACUU